This 71-nucleotide transfer RNA is filed under the name Loxodonta africana (African savanna elephant). It matches the Rfam family "tRNA". Rfam says of the family: Transfer RNA (tRNA) molecules are approximately 80 nucleotides in length. Lineage: Eukaryota; Metazoa; Chordata; Mammalia; Proboscidea; Elephantidae. The record is from Rfam by way of RNAcentral.
GCAGUGGUAAUUUAAUGGUAGAUUUCUCAUCUAUCAUGUGGGAGACCUGGGUUCGAUUCUCAGCCAAUGUA